RNAcentral lists this unclassified non-coding RNA (214 nucleotides) under Hevea brasiliensis (rubber tree). Lineage: Eukaryota; Viridiplantae; Streptophyta; Magnoliopsida; Malpighiales; Euphorbiaceae. The record is from RNAcentral.
GGGCCGGGUCUACAAGGUGAUACUUUUCCAGGCCUUAGACGUCUGCGCUUGCUGUUUGCCACUUCAUCAAGAUUUCUGCUCAUUUCAAUGAUGAAUCUGUCAAAUGUACCUAGAUGUCUGUGUUUGCAGUUUACAUGUUUCUUUUUUUUUUUNUUUGCUUCCUGGAUUGUAGUGAAAGAGUUUACAGAGAGGCUGUGUGGAUUGAAUAAAGCGA